GGGGGCUUUGGUUGGGUUUUUCAAGGACAUUUGUGCUUGUUGCGGUGGGUUCUCAUAUCAGUGUAACAUUUGCCACACAUUUCUCUGUUGCCAUAUGUCCCUGGUGGGACACAUUUGCAUCUGUCACAGCAUGUCAUGCAAGCUCUCAAGCAUAGGUUAGUCCUUGAGUGUAAUUUGCACCUUUGUCCACAUAAUGGGAUGCAAUCUGCCAACAAAGUUGUCCAACAGGUUGUUGUCAGAAAGAUAACAGAUAAGUUCCUUGAGUUUUGGUAAGUAAAAAAAUGAUGUUUUCUUUACCCUUUUUUGUCCUAACAGGCGGCAAUGGUGGACUUGGUGGCUUGUAAGGCGGUGCUGGAGUUGUUGGUGGCUUAACUGGAGGUGUAGGAACUGGGGGCUUAUAUGGGGGAGUUGGUGCUUUAGUUGGUGGUGCUGGUGCUGGAGUUGGUGCUUUGGUUGGGGGUGCUGGAGCAGGUGUUGGGGGCUUAUAUGGGGGUGUAGGGGCCUUGACUGGAGGUGCCGGUGCGGGAGUAGGGGGUUUAUAUGGGGGAGUAGGAGCCUUGGUUGGUGGUGUUGGUGCUGGGGGCUUAUAUGGUGGAGUAGGAGCCUUGGUUGGUGGCGCAGGAGCUGGGGGCUUAUAUGGUGGAGUAGGAGCCUUGGUUGGUGGCGCAGGAGCUGGUGGUUUAUAUGGUGGAGUGGGGGCCUUGGUUGGUGGUUUAUAUGGUGGAGUGGGGGCCUUGGUUGGGGGUGCUGGAGUUGGGGCCUUGUACGGCGGUGCCGGAGUGGUGGGAGGCUUAACGGGUGGAGCAGGGAUAG
Molecule: long non-coding RNA, 813 nt
Filed under: Gossypium barbadense (sea-island cotton)
Lineage: Eukaryota; Viridiplantae; Streptophyta; Magnoliopsida; Malvales; Malvaceae
Description: long non-coding RNA (GBAR_LNC006747)
Source: RNAcentral